AGUGAACGCUGGCGGUAGGCCUAACACAUGCAAGUCGAACGGCAGCACAGUAAGAGCUUGCUCUUACGGGUGGCGAGUGGCGGACGGGUGAGGAAUACAUCGGAAUCUACUUUUUCGUGGGGGAUAACGUAGGGAAACUUACGCUAAUACCGCAUACGACCUACGGGUGAAAGUAGGGGAUCUUCGGACCUUGCGCGAUUGAAUGAGCCGAUGUCGGAUUAGCUAGUUGGCGGGGUAAAGGCCCACCAAGGCGACGAUCCGUAGCUGGUCUGAGAGGAUGAUCAGCCACACUGGAACUGAGACACGGUCCAGACACCUACGGGAGGCAGCAGUGGGGAAUAUUGGACAAUGGACGCAAGCCUGAUCCAGCCAUACCGCGUGGGUGAAGAAGGCCUUCGGGUUGUAAAGCCCUUUUGUUGGGAAAGAAAAGCAGCAGGUUAAUACCCCGCUGUUCUGACGGUACCCAAAGAAUAAGCACCGGCUAACUUCGUG
This 492-nucleotide ribosomal RNA is filed under the name uncultured bacterium. Its description in RNAcentral is "partial 16S ribosomal RNA". It matches the Rfam family "Bacterial small subunit ribosomal RNA", at positions 29 to 507 of the family's 1533-position model. The record is from RNAcentral.